AACGACUCUCGACAACGGAUAUCUCGGCUCUCGCAUCGAUGAAGAACGUAGCGAAAUGCGAUACUUGGUGUGAAUUGCAGAAUCCCGUGAACCAUCGAGUCUUUGAACGCAAGUUGCGCCCGAAGCCAUUAGGCUGAGGGCACGUCUGCCUGGGUGUCACGCA
RNAcentral lists this ribosomal RNA (163 nucleotides) under Pleurospermum prattii. Its description in RNAcentral is "5.8S ribosomal RNA". It matches the Rfam family "5.8S ribosomal RNA". From Rfam's summary of the family: 5.8S ribosomal RNA (5.8S rRNA) is a component of the large subunit of the eukaryotic ribosome. Lineage: Eukaryota; Viridiplantae; Streptophyta; Magnoliopsida; Apiales; Apiaceae. The record is from RNAcentral.